Molecule: ribosomal RNA, 597 nt
Filed under: Triticum aestivum (bread wheat)
Lineage: Eukaryota; Viridiplantae; Streptophyta; Magnoliopsida; Poales; Poaceae
Description: partial small subunit ribosomal RNA
Source: RNAcentral
AUGAUUCAAGUUCAAGUUCCAGGAAGGACGUUCAUGCCAGUCACUGAGCCCAUAGAGUUUUCUUUUGAUGCACCAAACUGGAGUCUAGGAAAGAGCAUGGCAGCUCACAUCGCCAUGGGACGCAUUGGAGAAGUCUACCGCAAUGAUCUCAAGGAUACUAUCUACCAGAUUUGUGGGCGCCGAGAUGAACACUGGGAGAUGAUCAGCACCAGAAAGGAUAGAUCAAUUGCAGCUUUUAUCCAGGAGUUAAACCAUCACAUUCGACGACAGGAGAACCAGAUGUGCGCCGACAUGAUAGACCUAAAGAAGGCAAGGACAAGAAUCAAGGAACUGGAGGAAGAACUCAAGGCUACACGUGAAGAUUAUGAAGAAGAAAUUGAAGUAUUGGUGGAGAAGAAUGAAGAUCUGAUCAAGAAGAUCGGAAUAUUUAUGGGAGGCCCUACACCAGUAGAUGAAGACGAAGAACCCAAGGAGAUUCGCCUGGAAGACUACAUCAUCAUCGACGACACCGAUUUGGACCCAGAUGAUAGCGAUGCUGACUAUAUCGAUGAAGCAAGAGCAGAUAUCAUGGAGUCUGCAACCGAAGAAUAUUUCUAG